Molecule: transfer RNA, 75 nt
Filed under: Paraplanobispora siamensis
Lineage: Bacteria; Bacillati; Actinomycetota; Actinomycetes; Streptosporangiales; Streptosporangiaceae
Description: Planobispora siamensis tRNA-Gly
Rfam family: tRNA
About the family: Transfer RNA (tRNA) molecules are approximately 80 nucleotides in length. Their secondary structure includes four short double-helical elements and three loops (D, anti-codon, and T loops).
Source: RNAcentral
GUGGAUGAAGUGUUGCUGGCUGCACGCGGCCCUGCCACGGUCGCAGACCGGGUUCGAAUCCCGGCGUCCACACCA